This 460-nucleotide ribosomal RNA is filed under the name uncultured bacterium. Its description in RNAcentral is "partial 16S ribosomal RNA". It matches the Rfam family "Bacterial small subunit ribosomal RNA", at positions 338 to 795 of the family's 1533-position model. The record is from RNAcentral.
CCUACGGGGGGCUGCAGUGAGGAAUAUUGGUCAAUGGCCGGAAGGCUGAACCAGCCAUGCCGCGUGAAGGUCAGUGCCCUAUGGGCGUUAAACUUCUUUUGUGCGGGAGCAAUAAUGGUCACGUGUGGCCAGACGAGAGUACCGUACGAAUAAGCAUCGGCUAACUCCGUGCCAGCAGCCGCGGUAAUACGGGGGAUGCAAGCGUUAUCCGGAUUUAUUGGGGUUAAAGGGGGCGUAGGCUGUGAGGUAAGUCAGCGGGGAAAUGCCCCCGCUCAAAGGGGUGAAGUGCCAUUGAUACUGCCGUGCUGGAAUGCGGAUGACGUGGGAGGAAUGUGUGGUGUAGCGGUGAAAUGCAUAGAUAUCACACAGAACACCGAUUGCGAAGGCAUCUAACGAAUCCGCGAUUGACGCUGAGGCACGAAAGCGUGGGUAUCAAACAGGAUUAGAUACCCUGGUAGUC